RNAcentral lists this ribosomal RNA (494 nucleotides) under uncultured bacterium. RNAcentral describes it as "partial 16S ribosomal RNA". It matches the Rfam family "Bacterial small subunit ribosomal RNA", at positions 28 to 523 of the family's 1533-position model. The record is from RNAcentral.
GAUGAACGCUAGCGGCAGGCUUAGCACAUGCAAGUCGAGGGGUAUAGGUUUUCGGACCUAGAGACCGGCGCACGGGUGCGUAACGCGUAUGCAAUCUACCUUUUGCAGAGGGAUAGCCCAGAGAAAUUUGGAUUAAUACCUCAUAGUAUAACACAAUCGCAUGAUUGAGUUAUUAAAGUCACAACGGCAAAAGAUGAGCAUGCGUCCCAUUAGCUAGAUGGUAAGGUAACGGCUUACCAUGGCUACGAUGAAUAGGGGUCCUGAGAGGGAGAUCCCCCACACUGGUACUGAGACACGGACCAGACUCCUACGGGAGGCAGCAGUGAGGAAUAUUGGUCAAUGGACGCAAGUCUGAACCAGCCAUGCCGCGUGCAGGAUGACGGUCCUAUGGAUUGUAAACUGCUUUUGUACAGGAAGAAACACUCCUUCGUGAAGGAACUUGACGGUACUGUAAGAACAAGGAUCGGCUAACUCCGUGCCAGCCGCCGCGGUAA